This 94-nucleotide microRNA precursor is filed under the name Pelobates cultripes (western spadefoot toad). The record is from RNAcentral. Lineage: Eukaryota; Metazoa; Chordata; Amphibia; Anura; Pelobatidae.
CUGUGUGUAUUUAGCAGUCUGUCUGUGUGUAUUUAGCAGUCUGUCUGUAUUUAGCAGACUGCUGAAUACACACACACAGACUGCUGAGUACACA